CAAACCCACCACUGGUUUAAAGUAGGUAUUGGGUUAUUUUCUACAGAUCCGUUCUCAUUUAGACACCAAACCCACCACUGGUUUAAAGUAGGUAUUGGGUUAUUUUCUACAGAUCCGUUCUCAUUUAGACACCAAACCCACCACUGGUUUAAAGUAGGUAUUGGGUUAUUUUCUACAGAUCCGUUCUCAUUUAGACACCAAACCCACCACUGGUUUAAAGUAGGUAUUGGGUUAUUUUCUACAGAUCCGUUCUCAUUUAGACACCAAACCCACCACUGGUUUAAAGUAGGUAUUGGGUUAUUUUCUACAGAUCCGUUCUCAUUUAGACACCAAACCCACCACUGGUUUAAAGUAGGUAUUGGGUUAUUUUCUACAGAUCCGUUCUCAUUUAGACACCAAACCCACCACUGGUUUAAAGUAGGUAUUGGGUUAUUUUCUACAGAUCCGUUCUCAUUUAGACAC
This is a long non-coding RNA of Oncorhynchus keta (chum salmon), 462 nucleotides long. RefSeq lists it as uncharacterized. The transcript is spliced from 4 exons. The record is from RefSeq and is a predicted model, not a curated record. Lineage: Eukaryota; Metazoa; Chordata; Actinopteri; Salmoniformes; Salmonidae.